CCUACGGGGGGCUGCAGUGGGGGAUAUUGCACAAUGGGCGAAAGCCUGAUGCAGCAACGCCGCGUGAGGGAAGAAGGUUUUCGGAUUGUAAACCUCUGUCCUCGGUGAAGAAACAAAUGACGGUAGCCGAGGAGGAAGCCACGGCUAACUACGUGCCAGCAGCCGCGGUAAUACGUAGGUGGCAAGCGUUGUCCGGAUUUACUGGGUGUAAAGGGAGCGCAGGCGGGAAGGCAAGUCAGACGUGAAAACUAUGGGCUCAACCCAUAACGUGCGUUUGAAACUGCUUUUCUUGAGUGAAGUAGAGGUAGGCGGAAUUCCGAGUGUAGCGGUGAAAUGCGUAGAUAUUCGGAGGAACACCAGUGGCGAAGGCGGCCUACUGGGCUUUUACUGACGCUGAGGCUCGAAAGUGUGGGGAGCAAACAGGAUUAGAUACCCUAGUAGUC
Molecule: ribosomal RNA, 443 nt
Filed under: uncultured bacterium
Lineage: Bacteria
Description: partial 16S ribosomal RNA
Rfam family: Bacterial small subunit ribosomal RNA
Source: RNAcentral